RNAcentral lists this long non-coding RNA (236 nucleotides) under Gossypium raimondii (Peruvian cotton). RNAcentral describes it as "long non-coding RNA (GRAI_LNC002805)". Lineage: Eukaryota; Viridiplantae; Streptophyta; Magnoliopsida; Malvales; Malvaceae. The record is from RNAcentral.
UGGCGUUUUUGGGUAGAAGAAAUGGUAGAAUGAUCUCGGUGAUCGGGACUAAUAGAAGAGAAAAAAAUAUAAUCAAGAACUUGCAAAAACUUUCUAAACUUCACACUUUUUUUUUGAAUUUCCUCUCUUUUUUUCUUUCGAAUUAUUUUUUUUCCAAAUUUUUUUUUUCAAAUUUUUUUAAUUCAAUACAAUAGAAAGCUAAAUACAAAAGAAAAAAAAUUACACCUUGAAUUUUU